GAUGAACGCUGGCGGCGUGCCUAAUACAUGCAAGUCGAGCGAAUGGAUUAAGAGCUUGCUCUUAUGAAGUUAGCGGCGGACGGGUGAGUAACACGUGGGUAACCUGCCCAUAAGACUGGGAUAACUCCGGGAAACCGGGGCUAAUACCGGAUAACAUUUUGAACCGCUUGGUUCGAAAUUGAAAGGCGGCUUCGGCUGUCACUUAUGGAUGGACCCGCGUCGCAUUAGCUAGUUGGUGAGGUAACGGCUCACCAAGGCAACGAUGCGUAGCCGACCUGAGAGGGUGAUCGGCCACACUGGGGCUGAGACACGGCCCAGACUCCUACGGGAGGCAGCAGUAGGGAAUCUUCCGCAAUGGACGAAAGUCUGACGGAGCAACGCCGCGUGAGUGAUGAAGGCUUUCGGGUCGUAAAACUCUGUUGUUAGGGAAGAACAAGUGCUAGUUGAAUAAGCUGGCACCUUGACGGUACCUAACCAGAAAGCCACGGCUAACUACGUGCCAGCCGCCGCCGUAA
RNAcentral lists this ribosomal RNA (515 nucleotides) under uncultured bacterium. Its description in RNAcentral is "partial 16S ribosomal RNA". It matches the Rfam family "Bacterial small subunit ribosomal RNA", at positions 28 to 523 of the family's 1533-position model. The record is from RNAcentral.